Salvia hispanica is the source of this 375-nucleotide long non-coding RNA. RefSeq lists it as uncharacterized. NCBI's taxonomy places the organism in Eukaryota, Viridiplantae, Streptophyta, Magnoliopsida, Lamiales, Lamiaceae. The record is from RefSeq and is a predicted model, not a curated record.
UCGUCUUCCAAGGUUGUUCGGGUUCCUUCAACGUCCCUUGGCAUAGCUGAUUUCAACGUUGAGAGCUCCAAGAACAAGGAAGGGUAUGCUGCCAUUGGAGGUGGUUCGCCUCUGCGUAGAAUUACUGAUGAGCAGGCUAAUGCGAUCAAGUUGGCUCUGCAAGGUCUACAAUAUCUUCCCACAAUCAGUUGGGCAAAAUCAUCAACGCAAGGUUUUAAAGAGUUAGUUGAUUGUGGAUAAGUAUUCAAAGAAAAUCAAGCACACUGCACACAUUCCUCGAUUACUUGGCUGGAGGAUAUGAGCUGAAUUUUAUGGUUGUUAUUGAUUUCACUGGUAUACCUUCUGUCUAUGCUAACCAUGCUUUCCUUUGGAUUU